GAUGAACGCUGGCGGCGUGCCUAAUACAUGCAAGUCGAGCGAACGGACGAGAAGCUUGCUUCUCUGAUGUUAGCGGCGGACGGGUGAGUAACACGUGGAUAACCUACCUAUAAGACUGGGAUAACUUCGGGAAACCGGAGCUAAUACCGGAUAAUAUUUUGAACCGCAUGGUUCAAAAGUGAAAGACGGUCUUGCUGUCACUUAUAGAUGGAUCCGCGCUGCAUUAGCUAGUUGGUAAGGUAACGGCUUACCAAGGCAACGAGGCAUAGCCGACCUGAGAGGGUGAUCGGCCACACUGGAACUGAGACACGGUCCAGACUCCUACGGGAGGCAGCAGUAGGGAAUCUUCCGCAAUGGGCGAAAGCCUGACGGAGCAACGCCGCGUGAGUGAUGAAGGUCUUCGGAUCGUAAAACUCUGUUAUUAGGGAAGAACAUAUGUGUAAGUAACUGUGCACAUCGUGACGGUACCUAAUCAGAAAGCCACGGCUAACUACGUG
RNAcentral lists this ribosomal RNA (497 nucleotides) under uncultured bacterium. RNAcentral describes it as "partial 16S ribosomal RNA". It matches the Rfam family "Bacterial small subunit ribosomal RNA", at positions 28 to 507 of the family's 1533-position model. The record is from RNAcentral.